GACGAACGCUGGCGGCGUGCUUAACACAUGCAAGUCGAACGGAAAUGCCCUGCUUUUGUGGGGUGCUCGAGUGGCGAACGGGUGAGUAACACGUGAGUAACCUGCCCUUGACUUUGGGAUAACUUCAGGAAACUGGGGCUAAUACCGGAUAGGAGCUCCUGCUGCAUGGUGGGGGUUGGAAAGUUUCGGCGGUUGGGGAUGGACUCGCGGCUUAUCAGCUUGUUGGUUGGGUAGUGGCUUACCAAGGCUUUGACGGGUAGCCGGCCUGAGAGGGUGACCGGCCACAUUGGGACUGAGAUACGGCCCAGACUCCUACGGGAGGCAGCAGUGGGGAAUAUUGCACAAUGGGCGGAAGCCUGAUGCAGCAACGCCGCGUGCGGGAUGACGGCCUUCGGGUUGUAAACCGCUUUCGCCUGUGACGAAGCGUGAGUGACGGUAAUGGGUAAAGAAGCACCGGCUAACUACGUG
RNAcentral lists this ribosomal RNA (468 nucleotides) under uncultured bacterium. RNAcentral describes it as "partial 16S ribosomal RNA". It matches the Rfam family "Bacterial small subunit ribosomal RNA", at positions 28 to 507 of the family's 1533-position model. The record is from RNAcentral.